UACGGUCAAAUCACGCUGAAACACCGGUUCUCGUACGAUCACCGAAGUUAAGCAGCGUAGAGCCAGGUCAGUACUUAAAUGGUGGGGGGCGCUUAGGAACACCUGGUACUGUAAG
This 115-nucleotide ribosomal RNA is filed under the name Acanthosepion pharaonis. Lineage: Eukaryota; Metazoa; Mollusca; Cephalopoda; Sepiida; Sepiidae. The record is from RNAcentral.